This 134-nucleotide ribosomal RNA is filed under the name Staphylococcus aureus. RNAcentral describes it as "partial 23S ribosomal RNA". It matches the Rfam family "Bacterial large subunit ribosomal RNA", at positions 1 to 133 of the family's 2925-position model. The record is from RNAcentral. Lineage: Bacteria; Bacillati; Bacillota; Bacilli; Caryophanales; Staphylococcaceae.
AGAUUAAGUUAUUAAGGGCGCACGGUGGAUGCCUUGGCACUAGAAGCCGAUGAAGGACGUUACUAACGACGAUAUGCUUUGGGGAGCUGUAAGUAAGCUUUGAUCCAGAGAUUUCCGAAUGGGGAAACCCAGCA